CCUCCUAAUUUUGAAAUUUUUUUUUUAUUUAGAAUGAGCCAUUUUAUUCUCUCCUCUCAACAUACGUCUUUUAUUUCCCCCAUUUAAUUUUUAUUUAGAAUGAACCAUUUUACUCUCUUUCUCUCAACAUACCUCUCUUCAUCUCCCCCAUUCAAUUUUUAUUUAGAAUGAGCCAUUUUACUCUCUCUCUCUCAACAUACGUCUUCUCAUCUCUCCCAUUUUAUUCUCUCUCUCUCAACAUACGUCUCUUCAUCUCUCCCAUUUAAUUUUUAUUUAAAAUGAGCCAUUUUACUCUCUCUCUCUAUCGUUGGGUUCAUAUUUGCUGCCUACAGUGAGAGACUUUUGGUAGAUGUAACAAGUGAGAUACACAAAAAAAUAUUUAAUAUUUUAUUAUUAUUAAUUACUAUUACAGUUUCUAUUCGCUGCGAAGCGCGGGCCUCUUCACUAGUAUAAAAUAAAGAGAUAAAAAUUUAUAUUGUAGA
Molecule: long non-coding RNA, 482 nt
Filed under: Ananas comosus (pineapple)
Lineage: Eukaryota; Viridiplantae; Streptophyta; Magnoliopsida; Poales; Bromeliaceae
Description: long non-coding RNA (ACOM_LNC024935)
Source: RNAcentral